UAUAUGUAUAUAUAUGAGGCAAUAACUUUUUUUUUUUUUUUUAGAGAGAUAGAUAGCACGCUACCCGCUUUACUUAUUUUAUUUAGAAAUAAACUUAGCUGAAAAUGUGAAUCAAUUAAGAUUCGAACUUGGGUUUUGAGUACCAACCAUAAAGUCCUUUGUCAUUUGUUUUAGGGACGGUCGGUGAGCUAAUAACUUAUUGUAUUAUGGUACUAGAGUGU
Molecule: long non-coding RNA, 221 nt
Filed under: Ananas comosus (pineapple)
Lineage: Eukaryota; Viridiplantae; Streptophyta; Magnoliopsida; Poales; Bromeliaceae
Description: long non-coding RNA (ACOM_LNC021672)
Source: RNAcentral